This 5940-nucleotide small RNA is filed under the name Pongo abelii (Sumatran orangutan). RNAcentral describes it as "retained intron". The record is from RNAcentral. Lineage: Eukaryota; Metazoa; Chordata; Mammalia; Primates; Hominidae.
CAUGUGGUCUGUUUCUAAACGUUGUUUCUUGGACAACAUACGGACAGAAGCCAUUCUCCUCUUCUGACACCAGCCACUCUACUGAGAGUAGUCCAGAUGCCUGCACCAUCCUUGAUUAUCUCAUUUCCUUUUUUCAAUAAUUUUAUGAGAUAAGGUAUUAUUAUCUUCACUUAAAAAUGAAACAACUGAAUUUCCAAGAAGAUACAUUACCAAAGUCACGCAGCCAGUAAAUGCUGGAGUCAGGAUUUCAAACGUAGCUCAGAAUCACUCCAAAAGCCAUGCUCUUUGUCACAAUUGGACCGCCAUUGACAAUGGAACAUUCUGACUCAGUUCCUAUUCUUGCAUUCCAAGGUUCAUUGAGAACCAUUUUCCAAACUAGCAGUAAUUUCUAAAACCUAGAAAAACAAUGUAACUAACUUAAAAAUAAGUUCUAAAAAUCAUGAAUGUUUGCACUUGAGAAAUCUUAUAUUUAAUUAGUGGAGGUAGAAGACAUAGACUUUUGAGAAUGUUUUAAAGGGAAGUUGAGAGAAUUUUCAAGGGUUUAGAGGUUAAUGGUAUGGGCUCUUUAGUUUUAGUUUAGUUUUUUAUUUUUAUGGUGGAAAAAAAAAAACACCUCUAAGAAAAGUUUAUAACAUGUGUAUAUAUAUGGUGCUGGUUAAAAAUAGAAAAUUACACUACCUGGUGACCUUCCCUGGUCAUACAGCAUUAGCACUGUGCUAUGUCUAUAUUUGUGUACUAGGGACACAUUUCCCUUUCCUUGACAUUAUCAGGACAUUUUUUUACUCAUUAACCUUGAUUAGAAUCAUUCUAGUGAUUUACGGAAGAACAAAUAGAAAGGGAAAGGGAAAACCAUUCCUGUGAUCACAGGAAAAGAACCAGAAGGAGAAAGAGGGGGAUGAUUAAAGAGAAUAGAUGGAUAGGUAUUUAUAAGAAAACUUUUUUCUGAGGUGGAAUGAAUGGUGCUGGAAAGGAAAAGGAGGCGUGGGCUUUGGAAAGGAGAAAGGAUGUGCUAGGGAAGUGUUAGAGCUACCGGCACUGUGGGUUGGAGGUUUGGUUGCUCUCCGGAGCAAGAGAGGAGGAAGCAGGGAGAAUGGGGCAGCCCAGGCAAGAGGAUGGGGGGAGCAUUUUGGAGGUGGACACUCACCAGUUUUGUUAGUCAUCAUUUGGGAGAUAUCCCCUAGAUUGAGUGUCUGAGAGUGUGAAUCUCCCGUGUUCUGUUCUAAAUGGAAAGAUCAAUGCCCAGGAAUCGUUGUUGUUUUUAACCAACAUAAAGUGUUGUUUAAAUAUUGAGUGUGCCUGUAAUCCCAGCACUUUGGGAGGCCGAGGCGCGUGGAUCACUGAAGCUCAGGAAUUCAAGACCAGCCUGGCCAACAUGGUGAAACCCUGUCUCUACUAAAAAUACAACAAUUAGCCAGGUGUGGUGGCGGGCACAUGUAAUCCCAGCUACGGGAGGCUAAGGCAGGAAAAUCACUUGAACCCGGGAGGCAGAGGUUACAGUGAGCUGAGGUCACACCACUUCACUCCAGCCUGGGUGACAGAGCGAGACUUUUGUCUCAAGAAAUAAAAGUAAAUAAAUAUGGAGUGGGUGUUGAAGUGAACAGGUUAGGAACCGAAAGGACAAUAGCAGGAAUCUGAGUAGUAGUUCAGAAGAAAAAAAAAGGACCGCAAGUCAUUUAGUAGGCUGGAAAUGACAAAAGAGACUCAUAACUAAGCUUUAUGAUUAAAUGCCUUUGUUUAUCACUACAGUUUACAUCACCUUUUUUUUUUUUUCCAGGAGCCUUGCAAACAACAAUCUCCAGACACUCCCAAAAGAUAUUUUCAAAGGCCUGGAUUCUUUAACAAAUGUGUAAGAGGACCUAAGAAAUCACUGAACAAUUAAUUAAUUUGCAGUCAUUAACAAGGAAGCCUGGUAUUGAUUAUUAGAAUUUUUAAUUGGCUUUUAAAUUAAAAUUAUGAUUUUUAAAUCUAAAUUUUAACUGGCCAAAAAUUUAAAUUUACAUGGACUAACAUUUGAGUCUUCUAUGGUAUUUAUCAUUGGAAAUUCUGAAUACAUGGCACCCAGGCAUUCCUUUGACAAAGUGUGUGUCAAUACCGCAGGGAGCGAUGAUAAGGGACUUUGAUGGGGUGGGAAGAGACCCGGCUAGAAAUUUCAAAAUCCCUUUUUUCUCAUGAGGUCCAGGAAACAGGGCUACAAAGGAAAAACAUAAAGGAGUCUGGGAAACUGACAGAAUAAAGAUGAAAGGUUACAUCCUUGGGUUGGUCAAUCAACAGAGAAAUGGAGCAGGAAGUGGGGGAAGGGAGAAAAGUUUGCCUUUUUUCUCAUUAGACUGAACAACAACUCUAAGCUUAAUCCUCAGGAAUUUGGCUUAAGCCCCAGGAAGGGAAUGAACUUAAUUAUUUUUGACCCUUUUUCAAACAAAAGAGCUUUCAAACUUUGACUUUUAAGCCUCCGAGUGAAAGAUCUUUGCAGGAAUUUGUAUAUUUUGCUGUAAGCAAAGCAAGUAAUAUAUGCCUAAACCUCUCAAAAGCAAUUCAGCUUCAUUAUUUGCUUUCCAGAAGAUUAGAAAGGUAUUUAAAUGUCAUAAGGUGGAAGACAGGAACAAAUGAAAGGAUACAUGAAAACAAAAGCUUUUUAAAAAAAUUAUUCAGGUACUUUGCUGUAGAAUAUAUAUUCAAAACAACUUUUCUCCAAUAACAAACAAAAAGAAAAUCUGAGUCAAGUACUUUCUUCCAAGCCCAGUAUUUAACUUCAAAUCAGUAGCCUAAUGAAAAACUUUCUUUGUUCCUUGCAGUAUUUCCCCAGCCCCUCCUCCAUGUCUAUUACCCCAAUUCCUGAAUGAUGGUUUAAUUCCAGGAGAAUGCCCAAAUCAGGAUUCUUCCAAGAGAGUCCUGGACAGACCACAGUUAUCCUCUCUGGUUUACAGUAGCCUGAAAGGUUGCCACUCAUUAGUGUGGGUCAGAGUUCUCCUGGGAGACUAGGUCGGUUCUGGGAGUGUCUUGGAAGUUAGAACACACUCCAUGGGUGACAUGGGAUGUAGCUCAUUGGGGGUCCUUUACCCCAUUUUUGUGUCAGUCUAUACCCUACACUAGUGAAAGACAAAACAAAAAAAUAUUGAAAUUGGCUCAGUCUCUCAUGGGAAUCCCAAGAUGGGUUUAGCUGUUUGGACCUACUCUAAUAUGCCCAAAUCAAGAAUUAUCUUACAAGUACAAGGAUCCAUGCCAGCUUGCCUUUUAGUGGAUUUCUUGGCUUUCUUGAAAGUAUCCUCUAAAAAACAUUUUUAAAUGUUUGGGCGUUUAAAAAUUAUUUAUGUGUGGUGUGAAGAGUAGGCAGCACCUAUCUUAAGAAUUCUGUGUGACCAGGAAAGGAGGUGGAAUUCCUGAACAGAAGCAAUGCAUACACAGAGAACUUGGUGAGUUGGGGUCAUAUGUGGACAUGUAAAUGGUCUAUGCUGUAUAACUUAUUACAGGCAUGAGCGAUUGUAUGUCUGUGUUAACUCUGCUGUGUCAAAGUCAUUUCCUAUUUAAGCUGAAUUUGUAGACCACGGAAGAGGAUCAGGAUUAAUUAUGUCUGUGAGGAAGAAGAAAAGCAAAUAGCUCACUUGAUUUAAUUAAUACAUUACAAUAAUACUACAUUCUGUCCUUUAGACCUGUGCUGUCCAAUAGGGUAGCCACCAGACUUUAUGGUCACUGAGCACCUAAAAUGUGCUCCUAGUACAACUGAGAGACUGAGUUUUAAAUUUUACUUAAUUUUUUAACAGUUAAUUUUAAAUUUAAAAGCUGAUUCUCAGCUCAAUUAUUGGAAAAUGUUAAGUAUGCUUGGAAUAAUUUGGAUAUAUACACCUUUUUUUUCAAUUAUGAAUUUUAUGACAUCUAAAUAUAGAUCAUCUAUUUCUGGUAAAAUUUAGCACCUGAAUUGAGAUAUAUUAUAGAUAUAAAAUACACACUGGACUUCAAAGACUUAGUAUAAAAAAGAAUGUAAAAUAUCUCAAUAAUGUUUAUAUUGAUGAUGUGUCAAAAUGAUAAUCUUUUGUAUGUAUUGGGUUAAAUAAAACAUAUUAUUAAAAUGAAUUAUACCUGCUUCUUUUUACUUUUUUAACGUGGCUAUAGAAAAUUUUAAAUUACAAUUAUGGUUCAUAUACUGUUUCUAUUGACAGCACAGCCCUAGACUAAGCCACUUUAGAAUUCAAGAGGGAGUAAGUGAUGAGGUUCCAUUGACUGGGUAGUCUUCAAGUGUGCAUGGUGCUAACUCUCUGAGCCCAAAGUGAAUGAGUGGUCAGUCAGGUUCCAGGCAGGUUAUAGGGCAGGAUGUAAAGCAGGGUAAGGUCAUUCUGCACAUGUUAAUUGUUGAUGUAGAACUCUUUCCUGUAUGGGUAGGGCCCUUGUACAGCAAAAGCAGCUGAAGUUUGUCUUUCAGGGACCUGAGGGGUAAUUCAUUUAAUUGUGACUGUAAACUGAAAUGGCUAGUGGAAUGGCUUGGCCACACCAAUGCAACUGUUGAAGACAUCUACUGCGAAGGCCCCCCAGAAUACAAGAAGCGCAAAAUCAAUAGUCUCUCCUCCAAGGAUUUCGAUUGCAUCAUUACAGAAUUUGCAAAGUCUCAAGACCUGCCUUAUCAAUCAUUGUCCAUAGACACUUUUUCUUAUUUGAAUGAUGAGUAUGUAGUCAUCGCUCAGCCUUUUACUGGAAAAUGCAUUUUCCUUGAAUGGGACCAUGUGGAAAAGACCUUCCGGAAUUAUGACAACAUUACAGGCACAUCCACUGUAGUAUGCAAGCCUAUAGUCAUUGAAACUCAGCUCUAUGUUAUUGUGGCCCAGCUGUUUGGUGGCUCUCACAUCUAUAAACGAGACAGUUUUGCAAAUAAAUUCAUAAAAAUCCAGGAUAUUGAAAUUCUCAAAAUCCGAAAACCCAAUGACAUUGAAACAUUCAAGAUUGAAAACAACUGGUACUUUGUUGUUGCUGACAGUUCAAAAGCUGGUUUUACUACCAUUUACAAAUGGAACGGAAACGGAUUCUACUCCCAUCAAUCCUUACACGCGUGGUACAGGGACACUGAUGUGGAAUAUCUAGAAAUAGUCAGAACACCUCAGACACUCAGAACGCCUCAUUUAAUUUUGUCUAGUAGUUCCCAGCGUCCUGUAAUUUAUCAGUGGAACAAAGCAACACAAUUAUUCACUAACCAAACUGACAUUCCUAACAUGGAGGAUGUGUACGCAGUGAAGCACUUCUCAGUGAAAGGGGACGUGUACAUUUGCUUGACAAGAUUCAUUGGUGAUUCCAAAGUCAUGAAAUGGGGAGGCUCCUCGUUCCAGGAUAUUCAGAGGAUGCCAUCGCGAGGAUCCAUGGUGUUCCAGCCUCUUCAGAUAAAUAAUUACCAAUAUGCAAUUCUUGGAAGUGAUUACUCCUUUACUCAAGUGUAUAACUGGGAUGCAGAGAAAGCCAAAUUUGUGAAAUUUCAGGAAUUAAAUGUUCAGGCACCAAGAUCAUUCACACAUGUGUCCAUUAAUAAGCGUAAUUUUCUUUUUGCUUCCAGUUUUAAGGGAAAUACACAGAUUUACAAACAUGUCAUAGUUGACUUAAGCGCAUGAGACACCAAAUUCUGUGGCUGCCAUCAGAAAUUUUCUACAGUACAUGACCCGGAUGAACUCAAUGCAUGAUGACUCUUCUUAUCACACUUGCAAAUGAAUGCCUUUCAAACAUUGAGACUGCUAGAACCAAGCACUACCAGUAUCUCCAUCCUUAACUGUCCAGUCCAGUGAUGUGGGAAGUUACCUUUUACAAGACAAAAUUUAAUUGUGUAACUGUUCUUUGCAGUGAAGACGUGUAAAUAAGCGUUUAAUGGUAUCUGUUACUCCAAAAAGAAAUAUUAAUAUGUACUUUUCCAUUUAUUUAUUCAUGUGUUCAGAAACAACUGCCAAAUAAAAUGUUUACAUUUUCUUUCAU